This 2638-nucleotide unclassified non-coding RNA is filed under the name Agrilus planipennis (emerald ash borer). Its description in RNAcentral is "bRCA2-interacting transcriptional repressor EMSY, transcript variant X2". The record is from RNAcentral. Lineage: Eukaryota; Metazoa; Arthropoda; Insecta; Coleoptera; Buprestidae.
UAAUUACAUUAAUGUUUCUUCAAGUGAGAUAUUUUUGGUCAUUUUUUUGACAAGUUUGGUAACGUACGUACACAAAGGUUGGAAAAAUGAUCUAUCCUUAACCUAGAAUAUAACGUUAAAGUUUGUCAAGUAAUAUUUUUAUAAAGAAUUAAGUAGUUAAAAUGUUUCCUUUACUUGUUGAUAUGACGGAAGACGAGUCGUGGAAGGUUUUAAGAUUUUUAGAACUUGAAGCCUAUUCUAGCCUUGUGACUGCACUAAGAGCACAAGGAUCCCUCGAUUCUAGUAAAAUGAAGUUUAUGAAAGAGGCUGGUAAUAUUUUACACAUAUCUGAAGAAAGAUUUAAGUCAGAACUUAAAAGGGUUGUUUUGGAUGAAAGGUUAAAUACUGUAGCAUAUUACGUCUCUGGAAGUGCAACUACUUGGGAAGAUUGGAUUCAAGAAGGGCGUAGUGUUAUUCCACCCUUGUCAAGAGCAGUACCUCAGACAGCUUAUUCAGCAAUUGCAAAUCAAGUGGCUGAUGAGGCUAGCAAAAAUAAUGAACUUUUACCUCUACCUGCUUACACUGAACGGAAAAGGGGUUCAUCUUUUUCUCAAUCCACAAAUGCUAUACUUGAAAGCAGUAAAAGUGUUCAGUUUCGUGUGCCAGAUACCGUAAAGACUGAAGAGAGUAAAAAACGUAAAAAUUCUUAUGGUAUUGAAAACUCUUCAAUUGGCCACUUCAUGAAUGCUCCUAAAAUGAGCAAAAUUCAACAAAUUUACAGACAGAGAACAAAAGCAAAGAUGAAAGAGCAACAACAAUUGAAACUUCGUCAGCAAGAGCAAGAACAGAAGAGUUACCAGCGAACUCAGCAGACAAUUCACCAAAAGUAUAAUCCGGCUUUCAACCAGCAGAAAUUACCAUUAUCUCCUCAGCCCCCCUCUAGUGUCAGUCCAAAAAUAAACAUUUUACAAAACAUAAGUUUAUCGAGUCCAAAAUCCGAAGAAACGAUCGAAAUGAUAAAGAACGAAGUCGACAGUUACAUGGCGCAAAAGGCUUUGGCAGCCGAGCAAAACAACGUGGCCUCCCAACAACCUGGUUGUUCCAAUGAAAACGAAGCACCUAAAAACGUCAAUAAUAUGAAAUCAACAUCGCAAAAUUACAAAUACAUUUCUUCGCCCACCUCAGUUAAUGACGCGGGUACUAAAACUGUAAAAGUGUGUCCUAUUCGUAAGACCACAGCAAAAACACCUACCGGCCAAAAACUUAUCAUUGUUUCGAACCCUCAGACUAUUACCACCCCAAGCAUACUACAACGCACUCUUACAAUACCUUUUGUUAAGAAUAUUUCGAUGAAGAACUUCGACAAAUUCAAAAUUGUAUCCACAAAUGCCACUCCUGUUACAUUGAAUCUCACAGCUGUGACGAAUACUGUCGCUAACACGAGUAAUACUAGCACAAUACCCAAGCAUAAAAUAUUGUCCGUCAAGACGAACACAGGGGGCAAAAAGAUAAUCUCACUGUCUCAUUUACAAGCCCUUACGGCAAAAGGUGGCAUCCGUAUGCUACCCCUGGGCACUAAAAUAAUUACUACCAAAGGUCCUAUCAUUAAUUCCACGUCAGCUCCCGUUUAUAUCAUGAACAGCAUGGGUAAUGCGCAAACAGUGACCAAGAGUAGCCUUACAACUCCUCUCAUGGUUCCGUCAAAAUUGCAAACAAACAGUCUUGUAGUGAACAAUAACGUAAGCGUUAAUUCGGACUUUCAUCAAAGCAACACUAAUUCGGAAGAAGAAGUUCCCAAUAAAUCUAUCGUUUUGGAGACUUCGAUGGAAUCGGAAAGCCUUCCGGAUGAUAUUGAAAGUCAUAUAACACAAUUGACUGAAAUACCUCAAACAACUGUCGACCAUAGAACGGUCGAAGAGGAACACUGCAACAUUAAAUUAGGAACUAGCGAAUUACACGACGAUAACGGGAUGGUACAUGAACAGUACGUGGUCGAUCAAAAUGAAGAGCUACAGAACGAAAUCAUUCAUGAAAAUCAUUUCCUAGAAGAGCAUGAGAUCGACGGGAGUGAAAUUAUAGAAGAAGAAGGAGAAGAAAUUAUUCAAGAAGAUGGGGAAAUCAUUGAAGACGAAACUGUAGUUGUUCAAGAUAAAUACAUCAUUGAUGACACUAUAAUUGCCGAAGAUUCUGAAGAUAGUUACAUUAUUAUAGAUAAAACUGCGGAUAUUGAACCUUAUGAAGAAGAAAGAAACUCUUCAAUGCACCUUAUCAAUUUUGAAGACAACAGUCAGAAAUCCAGUAUGGAAUUCGGCGAGUUAGAGAUAGCGACUGAAAAUAAUUGCGCCAAAAUUCAAACAAAUAUACGUUGAGACUUUUCAAGUCCCCAAAAAAGGAGACACCACAUAGGAUAAAAACAUUCGUACAAGACACAGAUUUGAUUGAUAAAAGUUCGAUUAUUUAUAACAUGAAAAACAGCCAAUUGGUUUUAUUUCUUUAGAAAAUGUACAUUAUCCUUAAAUGUUUAAAAUGGUUCAUCGGUUAUUUAUUUUAGAGUAAUUUAUAUUUAUAGUAAACUUGUAAAGCUGUACAUGCUUCUCAUUUUGCUAAAGACGAAAAUGUAAAUAAAUACGUUUUUUAAAAAAAUAAUAAAUCCUCAACU